Molecule: ribosomal RNA, 433 nt
Filed under: uncultured bacterium
Lineage: Bacteria
Description: partial 16S ribosomal RNA
Rfam family: Bacterial small subunit ribosomal RNA
Source: RNAcentral
AACGAACGCUGGCGGCAUGCCUAACACAUGCAAGUCGAACGAGACCUUCGGGUCUAGUGGCGCACGGGUGCGUAACGCGUGGGAACCUGCCCUUAGGUUCGGAAUAACUCCCCGAAAGGGGUGCUAAUACCGGAUAAUGUCUUCGGACCACAGAUUUAUCGCCUUUGGAUGGGCCCGCGUUGGAUUAGCUAGUUGGUAGGGUAAAAGCCUACCAAGGCGACGAUCCAUAGCUGGUCUGAGAGGAUGAUCAGCCACACUGGGACUGAGACACGGCCCAGACUCCUACGGGAGGCAGCAGUGGGUAAUAUUGGAAAAUGGGCGAAAGCCUGAUCCAGCAAUGCCGGGUGAGUGAUGAAGGCCUUAGGGUUGUAAAGCUCUUUUACCCGGGAUGAUAAUGACAGUACCGGGAGAAUAAGCUCCGGCUAACUCCGUG